ACGAGACCUUCGGGUCUAGUGGCGCACGGGUGCGUAACGCGUGGGAAUCUGCCCUUGGGUCUGGAAUAACAGUUAGAAAUGACUGCUAAUACCGGAUGAUGACUUCGGUCCAAAGAUUUAUCGCCCAGGGAUGAGCCCGCGUCGGAUUAGCUAGUUGGUGGGGUAAAAGCUCACCAAGGCGACGAUCCGUAGCUGGUCUGAGAGGAUGAUCAGCCACACUGGGACUGAGACACGGCCCAGACUCCUACGGGAGGCAGCAGUGGGGAAUAUUGGACAAUGGGCGAAAGCCUGAUCCAGCAAUGCCGCGUGAGUGAUGAAGGCCUUAGGGUUGUAAAGCUCUUUUACCCGGGAUGAUAAUGACAGUACCGGGAGAAUAAGCCCCGGCUAACUCCGUGCCAGCAGCCGCGGUAAUACGGAGGGGGCUAGCGUUGUUCGGAAUUACUGGGCGUAAAGCGCACGUAGGCGGCUUUGUAAGUUAGAGGUGAAAGCCCGGGGCUCAACUCCGGAAUUGCCUUUAAGACUGCAUCGCUAGAAUUGUGGAGAGGUAAGUGGAAUUCCGAGUGUAGAGGUGAAAUUCGUAGAUAUUCGGAAGAACACCAGUGGCGAAGGCGACUUACUGGACACAUAUGACGC
This 633-nucleotide ribosomal RNA is filed under the name Sphingomonas sp. Its description in RNAcentral is "bacterial SSU rRNA". It matches the Rfam family "Bacterial small subunit ribosomal RNA", at positions 66 to 746 of the family's 1533-position model. The record is from RNAcentral. Lineage: Bacteria; Pseudomonadati; Pseudomonadota; Alphaproteobacteria; Sphingomonadales; Sphingomonadaceae.